This 693-nucleotide ribosomal RNA is filed under the name Serratia marcescens. RNAcentral describes it as "bacterial SSU rRNA". It matches the Rfam family "Bacterial small subunit ribosomal RNA", at positions 78 to 764 of the family's 1533-position model. Lineage: Bacteria; Pseudomonadati; Pseudomonadota; Gammaproteobacteria; Enterobacterales; Yersiniaceae. The record is from RNAcentral.
GCUUGCUCCCUGGGUGACGAGCGGCGGACGGGUGAGUAAUGUCUGGGAAACUGCCUGAUGGAGGGGGAUAACUACUGGAAACGGUAGCUAAUACCGCAUAACGUCGCAAGACCAAAGAGGGGGACCUUCGGGCCUCUUGCCAUCAGAUGUGCCCAGAUGGGAUUAGCUAGUAGGUGGGGUAAUGGCUCACCUAGGCGACGAUCCCUAGCUGGUCUGAGAGGAUGACCAGCCACACUGGAACUGAGACACGGUCCAGACUCCUACGGGAGGCAGCAGUGGGGAAUAUUGCACAAUGGGCGCAAGCCUGAUGCAGCCAUGCCGCGUGUGUGAAGAAGGCCUUCGGGUUGUAAAGCACUUUCAGCGAGGAGGAAGGUGGUGAACUUAAUACGUUCAUCAAUUGACGUUACUCGCAGAAGAAGCACCGGCUAACUCCGUGCCAGCAGCCGCGGUAAUACGGAGGGUGCAAGCGUUAAUCGGAAUUACUGGGCGUAAAGCGCACGCAGGCGGUUUGUUAAGUCAGAUGUGAAAUCCCCGGGCUCAACCUGGGAACUGCAUUUGAAACUGGCAAGCUAGAGUCUCGUAGAGGGGGGUAGAAUUCCAGGUGUAGCGGUGAAAUGCGUAUAGAUCUGGAGGAAUACCGGUGGCGAAAGCGGCCCCCUGGACCAAGACUGACGCUCAGGUGCGAAAGCGUGG